AAGUCGAACGGUAGCACAGAGGAGCUUGCUCCUUGGGUGACGAGUGGCGGACGGGUGAGUAAUGUCUGGGAAACUGCCCGAUGGAGGGGGAUAACUACUGGAAACGGUAGCUAAUACCGCAUAAUGUCGCAAGACCAAAGAGGGGGACCUUCGGGCCUCUUGCCAUCGGAUGUGCCCAGAUGGGAUUAGCUAGUAGGUGGGGUAACGGCUCACCUAGGCGACGAUCCCUAGCUGGUCUGAGAGGAUGACCAGCCACACUGGAACUGAGACACGGUCCAGACUCCUACGGGAGGCAGCAGUGGGGAAUAUUGCACAAUGGGCGCAAGCCUGAUGCAGCCAUGCCGCGUGUAUGAAGAAGGCCUUCGGGUUGUAAAGUACUUUCAGCGAGGAGGAAGGUGUUGAGGUUAAUAACCUCAGCAAUUGACGUUACUCGCAGAAGAAGCACCGGCUAACUCCGUGCCAGCAGCCGCGGUAAUACGGAGGGUGCAAGCGUUAAUCGGAAUUACUGGGCGUAAAGCGCACGCAGGCGGUCUGUCAAGUCGGAUGUGAAAUCCCCGGGCUCAACCUGGGAACUGCAUCC
This 580-nucleotide ribosomal RNA is filed under the name bacterium. RNAcentral's name for it is "bacterial SSU rRNA". It matches the Rfam family "Bacterial small subunit ribosomal RNA", at positions 59 to 628 of the family's 1533-position model. The record is from RNAcentral.